CUUGUGAUUUCUCUUAAUAAGUUCAUAAGGGGCAUUUUUGAGGAAGUCUUAAUCAAUCGUAGGCCUAAACCCUCUCUUAAUGGGGCUGUAUUUUUCUAACAAGGAAGUAAGAAAAAGAGGUAUUGGGGCAUAAGCUGUAUCUCGAGCUGCCCUUUCACUCUCCCCUGACUGCUGCAAAGCCCCUCAGUCAGUCAUUGUAAUCCAGAUCUGGAACUGGGAGUGUGUUUUGGGGAUAUAUCUUGUUGCUUUGUGAUGAAGGCCCUGAGAGAAUCUCUUGGUGUUGACAGCCCCUGACAGUAAAUGUCACAUGAAUUCGGAGGGAGCUUAGGGACUUCUGGUGACUGCUAUGAGAAGAGACAUGGUGACAGAAAACCUGAUUGAUGAGCUAUGCCACAAGUAGAGGGAGCACUGAGUGGUGAUUGCCUAUAAUUGAAUGGUCUGUGGAAGUUAUUUCUGGGGUUCCUAUGAGUGGUGACAUGCACUCCAGAAGUGUUUGCACAGGGGAGGACUGCAGAUUUUAACCCUGGUACUCAGCAACUCCUUGUUAAUGCAGCAUUAACAGACUUUAAAACUGUAAUGGGCUGCUUUAGCUUCAUGGCCAGCAUAGUAAUGAGCCAGUCGACAAUCAGAGAUGGUCACUCAAGCAAUUACCUUUAGAAAUGUUCCUUUGCCUCCUCUUUUUAGUGCUUUCUCCUCAUGGCUCAGCUCUGUGAUCUGACAACAUGGAGACGUUGAUUAUCAAGGUUCUUCCUGACUCUGACAGUGCACUCCUCUGACAUGGGCUUGUUGCAGCCAUGUUAAACUGAUGCUCCUGGCAUUAAAUGGGAAUGGGAGAUGUAGUAGCCCACUUACCCAGCAAAACAUCUGCUCACACUGACCAAUUAAAUUGGCUUCUCUCUCAUUAAAACCCUUGUGCAGACUCUGACAUCUCCUCUGGGCCACAUUCAAAGACCUGAGCUGACUCCAACUGCUGAAUCCGUAGGGAGGUUUUCAACACAGCCUGAAGCGCUCGGACAUUGGAGCCAGGCAAGAAGGAAGAGGGGGAGAAAUUCAAGCCCUCCCCACUUCCCUUUGGUAAAUCAGGAGCACAUCCCUUACAGAUUUACUUGGUUGUGCCAAUUUAAUGUGAUUUCUUCUGAGGGCCAGGAACCACUCAAGGGAGGCUGACAGGUUUUAUCAACAGAAUGGAAACUGAAGUGAUAAGGUGAGAGUUACUGACCUGAUAACUAACAAACAGAAAACUUCGGUGUCCCUCAAGCUAAAUAUUGCACUCAGCAGGUAAGUAAAAGAUGGCAACAGCUGUGGUCUUGUCACUGAGUGGGAGUGUGGUUUAGUGUAGAGGAGCAGGAGGUGAACUGUGACAACAAACACAUUCAGUUUGCUACAGACUAUUUCCCUCUAUUACUUUUAAUGAGAGCUAAACUCCAAAAUGCACAAUGGGACAAUAAUAUUUUAGAUAGAAGGAACUCUUCAUACAGCUCCUAAAUUCUAGACACCCGGUUGCAAUUAAAAUCAUUGCUUGUGUAUUAUUAAUAGCUCACCAGUAGUUUAAGGCUGUUAUCAGGUAUGGGACCAAUUGGUGCUGGCCGCUGCACAGCUGAAUGAAGAGUAGUGCUGGCCUUGAAGGAGCUGAGUUAACAACCUGAACCCACAGUGCUCAGAGGAGUUUGAAAAAUGAGAGGAACGUGGACAGGAGCUGUGUUGAAUGCAGCAGUGUGGAAGCUGGCAAAGCAACAUGGCUGGGUUGCUGUAGUCAGAUGUUAGUGAAUGCUGCCUAAGUGGGGUUUCAUUUAGUUAAAUUCUGAAAUUGCAGUGUGUGAAGGGCAGAUUGGAAAGGAAGCAGAGACCUCUAAUAAAUGCUGAUUUACAAGUAAUGGGCACAAAAAGUACUGCAAGUAUGGCAGUCUGUUGUUCUUGCUUUUUCCCCUUAUAUUUUUUCUUUUCCUGAGAACAUGCCGGGGGUUGUGUAUGAAACGUAGUCGUCGUAAGUCUCACACAUCCCUUGAAAUUCCUGUCUGACAGAAUAUGAAGGCUGUAGCAGCUGAACAAAAAGGCACGCGACAGAGCUCUUGUAUGAUGUCCGUCUCCCCUUUCUGGCACCUGGCCUGCUCAGUACAAUUGGGAAAGACAAAUGGCAAGUGAUUGCUUCCUAUUCAACUUCUGCAAGCUAAUUUUGUUUUUCACAUGGCAGCAGUUUUGUACUCACCACGUUUGUCAUUCUGCCAUGUAUUUUUUCUUCUCCCUGUUGCAGUUCCUCUCCUGUUACAGUUCCUUUCCUUUAUAAGGUAAGGGCACCAGAACUACAUUUGGUAUUUGAGAAGCAGACGCACCAUGAAUUCAUAGAGUGGCAAAGUCAUACUUUUCUCUCCUAAGAAUUCUGAACUUUUGCUUUUCUUUUCCUGCCUGCUGUUGAGCACCGAGGUGAUAUAUUCAUAGAACUAGCUAUUAGAAUGUCAGGAUGCAUUUUCUAAAUUGUGCAAACCAGUUCAGAGCCCAUCAUUCUGUGUGUAAAGUGAGUGUUGCUUUUUGUGGAUAGGUAGAUUAUAGCUGUCAGGGCUGAAAUUUAUCUCCCACUUUAUCAUGAGGCUUACUCAAUGUCAUGAGAUCUUUAAGGUUUGGUAGUAAAUACUAUCCUAAUUAAUUGAUGUUUUCUCAGAAAUCUUCACUGUUCCACCUUCUUUCCGGGUCAUUUGUGAACACAGUGAACACCAUGGACCUUAAUCCCCAUGGGAUUCCACUGAUGAUCAUCCUCUAAUGUGAAAACUCAUCCUACAGUCUAAUAUUUUUUCCCCUCAGUAUUAUUUAACUCUGUGAGGGUCUUACCUGUAGUCCCUGGGUUUUUAGUUUAUUUAAAAGCCUUUGAUGAGACCUUCAGUGCCUGAAGUUUCUGGAAGCUUGAUGUGAGCUGGAAAUGCAAAGGGAAAUUUCUCAGCUGGAUCUCUGUUAUUUACAUGCUUUUGACUCCUUCAGAGAAUUCCAGCAGAUUUAGGAGGCUCAGAUUCCUUUCACAAAAGUCAUAUUUACUUUUCCUUAAUGUGUUACUUUUAUUCAUGUAUUCAAUCAUUCUGUUCUUUACUAGAGCUUCAGCCAAUAUGACCAAUAUGGACAUGAGACUUAGUGGUCUGUGGGUUCUUGAAUCACCACUGGAUUUCUUUUUAAAAACUGAUUUGUUAUUAGUUUCCUUCCAGCCCUUUGAUAAUCGCAGCAAUUUUCAGCAAAAGGUUACAUACUAAGGGGAUUAGCUCAGAUGAUUCAUAUUUAACAUUCCGUAAAGAUCGUGCAUGAAUCUCAGGCACUGAUAUGUUGUUACUCAGUUUGUCUGGUUGUAAUCUACUCUUAACAAUCUUAAAUUAAGACAAGCCUGUUGUGAAUGUCUUAUAAACAGGGUCCUGGCCUCAGAGUUUCUCUGAGGUUCUCCAGGUGAAGAGAGAUGUAAAAAGAAGAGUUUGUAAUCUUUUGCGAUGGCAUUAUCUUUUCUGAGUGCUUCUCUCAUACAUGGCUCUUGCAAGCUUCAUGCUCUUGAUGUGUUCCAAGAAGGAUUUCUUGCCUUUUUUUUUAUUUCUUUAGCAAAUAGCUUCUAAAUUCUUUCUUCAGUCUAUGUUAUUGUGCUUUUACAUUUAGUCUGCCAGGAUUUAUGUUCUUUUUAGUUUUCCUUUUUCAGACACCACUUCAGCUUUUUGCAGUGUACGUUUUAACUUCCAGCAGCCUCCCUGAUCCUGCUGUUUUAUGCUUUUUGUUUUUCUCUCAAGUCUUUUUUGACAGGUUAUAUGCAUUUGCUUUGAGCCUCCAAUAUAGGAUCCUAAAACAGUCUACCUGCCAUCUAAAAACGUUUUACCUUUCUGGCUGCCACUCUUAGUGUUUUGGUUUUUUUUAACAGAUUUCCCCAUUUUUGAAUUCCCAUUCUCUGGAAUCAAGCACAACCACUGCAUUUGCCAACAUUUCUUCAUUUCAGAAUAUGUCGUCAUGAAUCAGAUAAAAGGAUUAAGGGUUUGAGCCUAGCCCAGUCUCUAGGAAGCCUGGAGAUAUUUGUCAUUAACUUUUCACUGAUGUUAAUGUCACUAAUUUCAUUAACUGAGAAACAGGGAAGGAAAUGGCUUUGCCAGGGCUGGAGGUGGUGGGAUUUUCUGCCCUGGAACAUCAGCUGCUUUCUCCAACCUACAACAGAGAAAAUGAUGGGUAACUGGAAAAUAAAGCAGCCUGGGCUGGUCUGUGCCACUGCAGUUUGAUGCUAACUAGGUGGGAUGGUUUGGGCAGAGCCCAUCUACACUGUGCUGGUCGGAACCAGAGUGCAAAAGUAGAGUCACAGUGAUAGUGUCCAGUUCCCACAUUAACAGAUGCAGGAUCGAUCCAGUGUACCAAGAAAUCCAGCAGGACAGUGUGUGGAUGCAAGUAUCUCUUCCUGUGAUAAUGCCAGAGAAUCAAGAGCUUAGACUACUUCAUUAUUUCAGUCUGCAUGUAACAAAAUCUUGGAUAAGGUCUGACCAAAAAAGGACUAAGACCACAGUUAGUAGAGCCUGCUUUGGUAGCUGAAAGUACCUGUAAAGCCAGAGUGAACCAAAUGAUGCUGGCUACAGUGCAACUGCUGCCUAGCAUUGACUGCUUAGCAACAGGGAGAGUGAUAUGGAUGCAGAUGAAUUGAGUGUUUUCUGAGCAAGCUGGGUAGGAACAGAAGUAAUUAGCUGCUAGCUGAUGAAAAGGCAUGCUUAAUUAUUAGUAUAAUUAUAGAUAUAAUAGACCAGGAAUUAUUCAGUAAAAGUACGAAAGCCAAUAUGUUACAAAGAAGGUAAUCAGAAUGGGAGAGAAAAUGACAGCGGUGUGAAUUCUGGAGAAGAAACGUAAUGGAUUAAGGUGAUAAAUCUGGAAUCUUUUGGGUUUCCACUUUCUGACAGAACCGAGUUUAACAAUGGUGUAGGGGUCUACAGAGCUAACAAGGUGUGUGGCUUGUAUUAUUUCUGGUUUUAUAUAAUGUUGAUUUAUCUGGUCGUAUGCCAGUGAAAUUGAGCUAUAUUUUCAUAAAUCUCCAAACCUGCAGAGAUUCACAAAGAUCUUUGUUCUCCCUCCAGCAAUACUGGAAGCACAACCAUUUAAUUUGAUGGAUCCUGUCAGAAGCUCAGCUAUAGCUGGUUCUGCUCAAUAUUGGUAAUUGAUUAUAAUUAUUUGAAAAGGCAGCAUUGCUUUCCCUUGGCACCCUGAGAAGUAGUUGUGACUAAGCAGACAUGCUAGCCAGCUGCCCUGCCUGGCCAAUGCAUCUUAAACUGUUUUCAGUGCCUGCUGGGGAGAUGGCUGGAGAUAACAGGCUGAACUGUACCAACAGAGAUGUUAGCAAGAUGAUGGAUAAUCACUGAAAUGAAUAAUCUGGGGAAGGUUUUAAGUACAUCUCUUCCAAUGUCAGAACAAACGUAAGUAGUUCUGGUCCUGCUUUUGUGCCAGGGCUUCGAGUGAGUGCUAACAGUAGCAGCAGUGAUCUGACAUCUUCUAUAUGCAUCUGGAAUGGAGAGGUCCAAGAGAUAUACAAUUUUGUCUAAAACUGUAGUGGUUUCUAUGGCAGUGGAAUGGUUGACUCUGGCACCAACAGCUCUAAUCUAGACUCUUGAGUCUGAGAGUGGUGGUGCCAAAUGAUUACAAACCCUUUUGCCCACUGCACUGGUUGGAAAAGAAAAUCAAGAUACAAAGAUUUUACUGAAUUACUGUUUGAGGACUAAUUAUUAAAAUGGUUUUUGAUUAAUGAGUUGUGAGUGAAGCUGGUUUGGCAAAUAGCAUUUUGAUAAGGUAUUUGCAAGACAGAUAGUCUUAAGAUGGUGCGAUGAACGUAAAACACUCUAACCUUAAUGAUGAUGUUAAUGCAAAAAUGAUGUAAAUGUGCAUGAGCAAUUACUGCAUGAAGUCACUGGGGUACAUCAGGACAAAUUGAGUACAGACAAACUCUAAUCAGCACAGAAUCAUUGCAGAGUGAACCUGAUAGCAACCUCAGGUAAUCAGUUGUUCCAUUUCUUUCUUCCAUAACAGAAUCAGAUCUUGCUCAUGACAUUCAUGGCUUCUUUCUCUUCCAUUUUUGUUGCAGACUUUUAUCUGCUCCAAGACUGUUACUGCACCUGACUCUGUCAGGCCUGCUAUUGCAUCUCUCUGUGGUCUUCUCUUUUGAGCAUCUCCUAAGUCUCUUGAUUCAGGACAUGUUUUCCAGACCUCUAACUGUUACUGGUUUUCUUGCUGCUUGGCCUGUCACCCUUUCUUGAGGAGCGGUACCAAAGACCGGAUGUUGCUCUGCACUGAGGCGUUACUGAGUACAGCAAAAGGACAGGCAAGAUGUCUUACAGUGAACCAUUGGAAAACUACUCUCAGAGUGUGGAUUCCAGCCCGAUCUGUGUCAUGACUUCAGCCAGGGCAUUCUUGCACUCAUCAAUGUCGUGUGGGCCUCAGUGACAUUGAGAUUAGAAGCUCUGGCCUCAGCCUGCUCUGGGUAUGUGCUGUGAGAGCCAGGUGGGCAAUGAAGACAGUAGCUGAAGCAAUUACUGAAGCAUUAGUGACUACCCUGGAAGCUCUCAGAAGGCAGCAGGAUAGAGCCAGCAGUGCUGUGGUUGAGGGGAAGCAAAGGACACAGCCGAGGACUGGAGGCAGCAGCCACAUCCUGGAGCAGUUUGUGGCUGUGAUUGUGCCAGGGCUGCUGUGCCUCUGGAGCUGGAGGAAGAGUACAGAGAUGAUGCUGUUUUGCUGCACUAAAACAUCAGAAGUCCCUGGCGAGGAGCACAGACCUGAUGCUAUGGGGACAAAAGGAGGAUGCAUGCAUGGGAGAAGGUGUCAGGUGAGUGCUGAGUGAUCAAAGCUAAGCCCCAAAGAGGCUUUGGCAUCUGUACCCCAUUCUUGGUGGGUUAGUUGUGCCCAGAAGGUCCAGGCAGGGGGCCUGGAGGGGAUCCCUUGCUGCUAGCCAGAGGCAUGGUGAUCCCAGGUGAUCCUGCAGGGUCCCCCAUGACUGAGGUGAUGGCAGGGGGCUGUUUUCAGGGCUCUGCUGUGAAAGCAGAGAGCUGCACUACAGAGGCAGAGCUGGACUGUGCUGUCCCCAUAGAAUAGGCUGAUGUAGGUCAAACAACUAGGAG
Molecule: long non-coding RNA, 7091 nt
Organism: Neopsephotus bourkii (Bourke's parrot)
Lineage: Eukaryota; Metazoa; Chordata; Aves; Psittaciformes; Psittacidae
Exons: 6
Source: RefSeq, a predicted model, not a curated record